UGGCUGGAGACCUCGUCAUCCGGGAGCUGAAGCAGCAGACCCUCUGCCGAUACCGUCUGGAGACCUUUAGUGAAUCCAGGAUAAGCGAGUGGACAUUUCAACCCUUUACUAACCACUCUGUGGAUGGGCCGCAAAGAGGCGCCUCCCCCAGGCUAUGGGACAUCAAGGUUCAGGUUCCUCCGAUGUUUCAGGAAGAUACCAGGAAGUUCCAGGUCCCUCACUCGUCAUUGGUCAAGGAAUGCCACAAAUGCCACGGGCGUGGGCGGUACAAGUGCAGCGGCUGCCAUGGGGCGGGCACGGUCCUGUAAGAGGGCCAAGGCCUGGGGUUCUUCUUAUCAGGGAGUCCCUGCCAGCCAGGGAAACCAACAAGUGACUCCAUUUGUCGUACAGGGCGGUGGGUGCUGAACAGGUGCGGUGCCCGUCCUGCUGCGGAGCCAAGCGCAAAGCCAAGCAGUCCCGGAGGUGUCAGCUGUGCGCGGGGUCCGGCAGGCGGAGGUAGGGGCGUCUCCCAGCACCGCGAUGAAGUGCUCUUGCUUU
RNAcentral lists this small RNA (537 nucleotides) under Pongo abelii (Sumatran orangutan). Its description in RNAcentral is "processed transcript". The record is from RNAcentral. Lineage: Eukaryota; Metazoa; Chordata; Mammalia; Primates; Hominidae.